UACGUAGGGUGCAAGCGGUAAUCGGAAUUACUGGGCGUAAAGCGUGCGCAGGCGGUUAUGCAAGACAGAUGUGAAAUCCCCGGGCUCAACCUGGGAACUGCAUUUGUGACUGCAUGGCUAGAGUACGGUAGAGGGGGAUGGAAUUCCGCGUGUAGCAGUGAAAUGCGUAGAUAUGCGGAGGAACACCGAUGGCGAAGGCAAUCCCCUGGACCUGUACUGACGCUCAUGCACGAAAGCGUGGGGAGCAAACAGG
This 253-nucleotide ribosomal RNA is filed under the name uncultured bacterium. RNAcentral's name for it is "partial 16S ribosomal RNA". It matches the Rfam family "Bacterial small subunit ribosomal RNA", at positions 524 to 776 of the family's 1533-position model. The record is from RNAcentral.